This 11120-nucleotide long non-coding RNA is filed under the name Capsicum annuum. Its description in RNAcentral is "long non-coding RNA (CANN_LNC011671)". Lineage: Eukaryota; Viridiplantae; Streptophyta; Magnoliopsida; Solanales; Solanaceae. The record is from RNAcentral.
CAGUAUAUAGAACACUAAACACACAUAAAACUAGUUUGCUUCCAGAACCAUGUUGCGACGAUUGCCAAAAUAAUCAAUGCCAAAGCAGCAACCUGUUAAAAGAAAACAAAAUAUAAAAGAAAACCUAGAAGAAGUUAGAAAUUAUACUCUACUUAAUGCAGAAGGACAAGAAUGUUUAAUAGAUAUAGAAAAGGAUUAUACCCUAAUAAGUAUAGAAACUCUAUUUUAUAAUUUUAGAAAAGGAAUGGAUAAAAUAGGAAUAAUAAACAGUCCAAAAGAUUUAGAAAAUAUAAUAUCUAUACUAGAUAAAAUGGAAAUAAUAGGAGAAAGACCGUUAGCUCAUUGGGAUGCUAACGAGAUAAUGUGUAAAUUAGAUAUAAUUAAUUCAGAAUACACUAUAAAAACAGCACCUAUAGAAGCAAAUAAUGAAGAUACUAAAGAAUUUGAUAUACAAAUAAAGAAACUUUUACAAUUAGAGGUAAUAAGAAGAUCUACCUCUAGACAUAGAUCGGCCGCCUUUAUGAUAAGAAAUCAUAGUGAACAAAUAAGGAGUAAAGCUCGUAUGGUAAUUAACUGUAAAAGAUUAAAUGAUAACACCAGAACAGAUGCAUAUAAACUACCAGAUAAAAGUGAGUUAAUUAAUAGAAUUCAAAAUAAAAAAGUAUAUAGUAAAUUUGACUGUAAGUCAGGUUACUGGCAAGUCAAAAUGCACCCAGACAGCAGAGAGUGGACGGCAUUCACAUGUCCAGGUGGAAAUUUUGAAUGGUUAGUUAUGCCGUUUGGUUUAAAGACAGCUCCACCCAUUUUUCAACGAAAGAUGGAUAACAUAUUUGGAGAGUAUAAACAUUUUAUAUUAGUAUAUGUAGAUGAUAUUUUGGUGUUCAGUCAAAAUAUACAAGAACACUUAGGACACUUACAAAUAAUUUUUAGAUUAUUUGUUAAACAUGGGAUAAUAAUAAGUAAAAAGAAAAUGGAAUUAUGUAAGACUUAUAUUAAUUUUCUAGGAAUAACUUUAGGAAAUGGAAAGGUAAAACUUCAACCACACAUUGCAAAGAAAGUAUUAGAAAUGCCAGAUAAAUUAGAAAAGACAAAAGAUUUACAAAUAUUUUUAGGAUUAGUAAAUUAUGCACGAAAUUUUAUUCAAGACUUAGGGAAAAUAACAGGACCAUUAUAUGCAAAGACUGGUAGUAAAGGGCAGAAAAACUUCAAUAUAGAAGACAUUAAAUUAAUCCAAAAAAUAAAAGAAAAAUUAAAAUAUUCCAGACCUAAAUAUUCCAUUAGAAUCGGAUUAUUUAAUCAUUCAAACAGAUGGAAGUGAUUUAGGAUGGGGUGCUAUCUUAAAAGCACAACCUAAUAAAUACAGUAAUAAAAAUGAAGAACAAAUAUGUGGUUAUCAGAGUGGGGCAUAUAAAGAAAAAGGAAACAUGAGUGCUAUAGACCUAGAAGUAUUAGCUAUAAUAUACGGGUUAAAUAGUUUCAAGUUAUAUAUUCUAAAUAAAGAGGAAAUUUUAGUUAGAACAGAUUGUGAAGCUAUAGUUAAAUUUCAUCAAAAAAUAAAUGACAAAACUAGUAGUAGAAGAAGAUAGCUAAAUUUUACAGACACCAUAUUUGUUUAUAAGAAUAUAGUAUUUGAACAUAUAAAAGGUAAAGAAAACGAAUUAUCAGACCAGUUAAGUAGAUUACAACUGGGAAUAAAUAAAUAAGUUUAAUCCAACUCAUUUAUUUUCAGCAUAAGACCAACAGGACAACCUCUUGCAGAUAAAGGCAAAGGUGUAGCUUCGUCUUCAAAUUCAUAUCAGCAGACAAUGUUAAGUAAUUUAAAUUUUAGACCACUACAAUCUUUAGAAAUAAUGGAAAGAAUUCACUUUGGACCAUUUAACUUAAUUGCUUACCUUGAGAGUAACAUAUCAUUUAGAAUAAGACCAGACUACAUUUUAGAUAGACCCCAAAAGUGUUUAAUAGAUAAUCUUUGGAUAUCUUAUAAUAGACAAAAUCAUAAUCAUUUAUGGCAUCCAUGAAUUCUUUAUGCCAUUACAUGGCAGAAAAAAGUAGGCCUAGGUUUAAAUAUUAUAUAGUCAUUCAUAGGAAGACUAACGGAAUUUUCCAAACAUGGUUAGAAGUGUUAGAUUCAAUACAAGGUUUUAAAGCCUCUCUUUUCAAAGAUUUUAAUGAUUUUACCGAAGCCACAAAUCAUGCUAGAGGAUAGUUAGGACCAAACUAUUAUAUAUCACCAUCACUCAGACAGAACCCAGAUCAAAUACCUCAGUAUAAUUUGCAAAAAGAGACUGGAAAGAUUAUUCUCUGCAACCAUUGUUCUUCGAUGACGGAGAAUUUCAAGAAGCUAAAUGCUCAGAAAGAAUCACUCCUCAUGGAAAACACUAGAUUAAUAAAGCAGGUACAACUAUUAGAAGCAAGACUCAACCAUCAGACAAAUGUAAGCAUGACAAUGCAACCAUUGAAGAGAUGGAGAACUCUGAGUCUGAGUCUUUAUUUUUGCAUCUGUCUUGCUUAUAUUUGUCUGAUGGUUGAGUCUUGCUUCUAAUAGUUGUACCUGCUUUAUUAAUCUAGUGUUUUCUAUGAGGAGUGAUUCUUUCUGAGCAUUUAGCUUCUUGAAAUUCUUCGUCAUCGAAGAACAAUGGUUGCAGAAAAUAAUCUUUUCAGUCUCUUUUUGCAAAUUAUACUGAGGUAUUUGAUCUGGGUUCUGUCUGAGUGAUGGUGAUAUAUAAUAGUUUGAUCCUAAAUAUCCUCUAGCAUGAUUUGUGGCUUCAGUAAAAUCAUUAAAACCUUUGAAAAGGGGGGCUUUAAAACCUUGUAUUGAAUCUAACACUUCUGACCAUGUUUGGAAAAUUCCGUUAGUCUUUCCAUGAAUGACUACAUAAUAUUUAAACCUAGGCCUACUUUUUUCUGCCAUGUAAUGGCAUAAAGAAUUCAUGGAUGCCAUAAAAUGAUUACGAUUUUGUCUAUUAUAAGAUAUCCAAAGAUUAUCUACUAAACAUUUUUGGGGUCUCUCUAAAAUGUAGUCUGGUCUUAUUCUAAAUGAUAUGUUACUCUCCGGGUAAGCAAUUAAGUUAAAUGGUCCGAAGUGAAUUCUUUUCAUUGUUUCUAAAGAUUCUAGUGGUCUAAAAUUUAAAUUACCUAACAUUGUCUGUUAAUAUGAAUCUGAAUACGAAGCUACGCCCUUGCCUUAGGAGGUUGUCCUGUUGGUCUCAUGCUGAAAAUAAAUGAGUUGGAUUAAACUUAUUUAUUUAUUCCCUGUUGUAAUCUACUUAACUGGUCUGAUAAUUCGUUUUCUUUACCUUUUAUAUGUUCAAAUAUUAUAUUCUUAUAAACAAAUAUGGUGUCUGUAAAAUUUAGCCAUCUUCUUCUACUACUAGUUUUGUCAUUUAUUUUUUGAUGAAAUUUAACUAUAGCUUCACAAUCUGUUCUAACUAAAAUUUCCUCUUUAUUUAGAAUAUAUAACUUGAAACUAUUUAACCCGUAUAUUAUAGCUAAUACUUCUAGGUCUAUAGCACUCAUGUUUCCUUUUUCUUUAUAUGCCCCACUCUAAUAACCACAUAUUUGUUCUUCAUUUUUAUUACUGUAUUUAUUAGGUCGUGCUUUUAAGAUAGCUCCCCAUCCUAAAUCACUUCCGUCUGUUUGAAUGAUUAAAUGAUCUGAUUCUAAUGGAAUUUUUAGGUCUGAAAUUUUUAAAAUUUUUAUUUUAUUUUUUGAAUUAAUUUAAUGUCUUCUAUAUUGAAGUUUUUCUGCCCUUUACUACCAGUCUUUGCGUAUAAUGGUCCUGCUAUUUUUCCUAAGUCUUGAAUAAAAUUUUGUGCAUAAUUUACUAAUCCUAAAAUUUUUUGUAAAUCUUUUGUCUUUUCUAAUUUAUCUGGCAUUUCUAAUACUUUCUUUGCAAUGUGUGGUUGAAGUUUUACCUUUCCAUUUCCUAAAGUUAUUCCAAGAAAAUUAAUAUAAGUCUUACAUAAUUCCAUUUUCUUUUUACUUAUUAUUAUCCCAUGUUUAACAAAUAAUCUAAAAAUUAUUUGUAAGUGUUUAUUUGUAAGUUUCCUAAGUGUUCUUGAAUAUUUUGACUGAACACCAAAAUAUCAUCUACAUAUACUAAUAUAAAAUGUUUAUACUCUCCAAAUAUGUUAUCCAUUUUUCGUUGAAAAUGGGUGGAGCUGUUUUUAAACCAAACGGCAUAACUAACAAUUCAAAAUGUCCACCUGGACAUGUGAAUGCCGUCCACUCUAUGCUGUUUGGGUGCAUUUUGACUUGCCAGUAACCUGACUUACAGUCAAAUUUACUAUAUACUUUUUUAUUUUGAAUUCUAUUAAUUAACUCACUUUUAUCUGGUAGUUUAUAUGCAUCUGUUCGGGUGAUAUUCUUGAGCUUCAUGGGUGAAAGAGACCCAUGAAUCAACACAUGACAUACCUGGAUGGAUGAGUUCUUGAAGAUUAAUGGAGGAAAACUUGAAUUCUUGACUUGGAAUUAAACACCUAGGAUUUCUUGUUCUUGGGGACUGAUCUUUGAGAGAAACCCUAAUUAGAUGUUAUAGAUGAAUAAUAAAGUUAUGGGCUAUGGUCUGGUAUAAUUAGGGGUUAAAACGGGUGAAAAAAGACCCAAAUACCCUUUUAAAAAUGACUUUAAAUUUCUGACCGGGAUCUGCGAUAGCUCGUGUGACGGUCUGUUCGUCAAGUUCAACGGUCCGUCAACCUGUCCGUCACACCUUAGCUAGAAGAUUGACUUACUGCCUUAGCUGUGACGGUCUAGGCGACGGUCCAUCGCUAGAUCGAUGGUCUGUCAACUUGCCCGUCGCAUCUGGGCGGUUCUGACAGCUCUCGGUAAAACGUCCAUAACUUUUUACUCCGAUACCAGAUUUGGACAAAAUUGGUAUUGUUGGAAAGCUAAUUCAAUUUCCCACUCAAAAAAGGUGAAAAUUUCAAAAAUUACACGUGUACAAAAUGGAUUCAUCUUUCAAAGUAAGUUUCUAACAUUCUUAGGAUGAUUUCAAGCUAGGUAGAAGUACGUGGUAUAUAUAUAUAUAAAUGUAUUUAUAUAUAUGACUGUUGAAUGCGUAUAUAUAUAUAUCACAUCCACAAGUGUAUUACCUUAUAAUAGAAUACGUUCAUUAUAUUCUGAUGAAUUAUCGGUUAUAUAUUACAUUAUUACGACUGAAAUAGUAACAUAAUAUCAUUAUCUCAACAGUAUGAUAUAUAUAUACACACAUAUUCAUUAUACAAAUUAUGCAUGCUUAACGUCAUUUAACGUAUAUACGAAGGAAAAUAUUAUGUUUUGAAACAUAUGUAAAAGAUAAAGAUUAUGUUUAACGUAAUUUAUUUAUUUUAUUUGAUAUAUGUUUAAGUGUAAUUUUUUCAAAAAUUUAAAGAAUGAUUGAUUUUUAUUAUUAUUAUANNNNNNNNNNNNNNNNNNNNNNNNNNAAAAUUUUUUUUUUUUUUUUUUUUAAUUAAAAACUUACCACAAGUGGUCGGUUUAUUGAAAAGUAUUUUUCUUUUUUUAAAAAAAAAUAAAAACCGACCAGUGGUCGAUUUUUUAAAAAAUAAAUUUAAAAAUAAUUUUUAUAAACUGACCACAAGUGGUCGGUUUUUUAAAAUAUUUUUUAAUUAUUUUUUUUAAUAACCGACCACUAGUGGUCGGUUUUGUUAUUUUUUUAAUUUUUUAUUUAUAAAAUAAAUUAUAAUUAAUAUAAAAAUUAAUGAAAUAAUUAUUUUUAUUUUUAAAAAUAUAAAAAUGACCACAUGUGGUCACUUUUUGAAAAAAAAAAAAAUCAACCACGUGUGGUCGAUUUUUUGUGGUCGGUUUUUCAUUUUUUUCUAGUUGUGUUACUUAGGCAAAUUAUAUGAAAAGGUCAUCCAUAAAACUUAAUUACAUAAAUAAUAGUACUUUUUCGAUAUUAAAAAAAUAAAAGUUUUUUCUUUAUAUAUAGCCAUUUUAAGAAAUCAAACAAGAUAAUUAUAAUUCUUAAUUUAAUGCAAUAACUAAUUAUCAAUUCACCUUAAUUUAAGAUACAUAUUUUCAAUCUUCAAAUUAAAAGUAGAAAAGAUAAUCUUUGCUUUCAAAUAUUUUUCUCUCUUAUAUUCAAUAUUCAUAUAUUUUUAAAUAAACUAAGUAUUCCAUUAUUUGCUCAUGUAUAUUUCAUUUUAUUUUCAUGUAUGUUAUUCAUCUAGUAUUAUUUUAUUAUUGUGUGUUUUUAAUUCUAAUGUAAUGGGGUAACCAUAAUUUUUUUAUGGAUAAAUAUUUAUGGAAUAAAAAUUAUUUUGGUGGAAGUACAGAUAUAUCAUAUAUUUUUGUUGUAUAAAUAUAAUUAAUGUAAAAGUCAGAUUAUUAUUAUAUUUUUAUAUAAUUUAUGAGAUAAAUAUUCAUGAUAUUUUUUAUAUAAUUUUUGCACCAUUUGAUAUAAUAUCAAAAAGCAUUUGCAUCAUUUGAUAUAAUACCAAACACCAUUUGAUAUAAUAUCAAAUGAUGCAAAAAUUCUAUCGAAAAUAUAAUAAUAAUCUGACUUUGACAUUAAUUAUAUUUAUACAACAAAAAUUUAUGAUAUAUCUGUACUUCGAACAUAAUGAUUUUUAUUCCAUAAAUAUUUAUUCAUAAAAAAUCAUGGUUAACCCAUUACAUUAGAAUUAAAAAUACACAAUAAUGAAUUAAUACUAGAUGAUUAACAUACAUGAAAAUAAAAUGAAACAUACACUAGUAAAUAAUGGAAUACUUAAUUUAUUUAAAAAUAUUUAAAUUUUGAAUAUAAGAGAGAAAAAUCUUUGAAAGUAGGGAUUAUCUUUUCAAUUGUAAUUUGAAGAUUGAAAACAUAUCUCUUAAAUUAAGGUAAAUUGAUAAUUAGUGGUUUUAUUAAAUUAAGAAUUAUAAUUAUCUUUUUUAAUUUUUUAAAAUGGUUGUAGAUGACAAAAAAAACUUUUAUUUUUGUAAUAUCGAAAAAGUACUAUUAUUUAUGUAAUUAAAUUUUAUGGAUGACCUUUUCAUGUAAUUUGCCUAAAUAAAAUGGCAAAAUACGUUCAAUAGAUAGAUGAGAAGGACAUUUUAGGCUCAAUAGAUAGGUGAGAAGGAUAUUUUAGGUUCAAUAGAUAGACGGAAAGGACAUUUUAGAUCCAAUAGAUAAAUAAAGGAUAUUUUUACACUAUUUUACAUAAUUAAAUGACAUUUUAGAUUCUUUUCCAUAACAGCAAGAAAGUAAUAGCGUAUGUGUGCAUGUAAAUCAGACAAUCGUAAGUGAAAUAUAAACUCACGAAAAAAUGAUUUCCAUGUGUGUUUUGACCAUUUGCUCAUACCCAAAAACUGCACCAACUAACCGAUGAUCGACCUAGGAAAUUUCGAAUUGCACAUUCUAGGGUUCAAUUACACACGACACUUAUCCUACUCCCACUCCCUUCUUCACUGUCGUUGUUUUGCUACAUUCUCUUUUUACCUGAAAAGGAAAAACAAAAGUAUAAAAACCCAUCCACCAAAUCCUCCUGAAAAAUCCCAAAACUAUGUGGAGGAUUUUUCAUACAAGAAUCACAAAAUGUAUUCAACAAAAUACAUUUCAAAGACAUUAUUGCCAGAACAACCUAAUCUUGGUCCAAGAAAUCAUCGAAAUUCUCAAAAACAACAAGUGGAAAAGCCUCAUUCAAUCCUCAGGAAUUAUAGAGAAGCUAAAUCCCGAUUUAGUUCAAUCUGUUCUUCACCAAUGGUCCAAACACAAAGUGGGUAUUCAAUCAGAGUUGGAAAUUCACUCAUUUCUAGCUGCCCUUUUAUGUAGUAGUAGUAGUAAUAAUUUGUAUGGUCCUGCUAAUUCUGUUCUUGAUAUUGUGAUUAAAUUUGGUUUACCCCCUUUAGAUAUUGUGAAAUCUAUUGAUAAUUGUCGUAAAGAAUUUGAUGAGUCAAGAAAUAUCAUGUAAUAUUUGGGUUGUUGAUGGAUAAGUAUAGAGAGAAAGGGUACUUGUUUGAAGCUGCUAUUGUUAUUUUUGCUCAUAAUAAGGAUCUUGAUUGUGUCCCUAGCUUGUUGUAUUGUAAUCGUUUAUUGAUGGAUUUGUUGAAAGUUAGUAACUUUAGAUUGUUUUGGCGAGUUAUUAAUGCAAUGCGUGAAGCAAAUGUUACCUUUAGUGACAUUACGUAUACCUGUAUGGUCGGUGCUCACUGUAGAGAGGGGAAUGUUAAUGAUGCCAAGAAAGUUUUUGCUGAGAUGAAAAAGAAGGGGCAUUGUCCAAAUAUGUUUACCUACAAUUAUUUGAUAAAGGGGUUGUUUAGAGCUGGGCAUGUGGAUGAGGCAAUUGAGCUUAAAAAGAGCAUGUCGUUAGUCCCUAAUAUAUAUAUUUAUACCACAAUUAUUCGUGGGCUUUGUGUUGCGAAUAAAUUUGGAGAGGCAACAAUGGUAUUAGCUGAGAUGAGUGAGAGGGGAGUGAAGCCUAAUGCAGUUGUAUAUCAAGUUUUACUAGAUUGUUUCUUGAGACAUGAUGAUGUGGAUGAGGCUUUCAAAAUGAAGGAUAUAAAGGAUGCUAUAGGCAUUGAUUUAGUCAUGUGCAAUACAUUUCUACGUGGACUCCGCAAGUGUGGUAAGAUGGAGAAGGCAAAUGAACUUGUGGAUGAGAUGACUAGAGAAGGUAUCGAGCCUGAUUUGAAAACUUAUACCUUGUUGAUUGAGGAACACUGUCGAGAGGGUAAUGCUGCCACUGUGUUGGAGCUUCUUGAAGAAAUGAAGAAGAAAAAUCUGGCCCCUGUUGAGUCAACCUAUUGUAUGAUAACCGAUUGUUUCUGCCGCAAUAAGGAUCCGGACUCCGUUAUAGCUUCUCUUCCAGACUUGAUAACGAAGAAUGGGAAGCGAAAUGCGCAUACCUGGAGAACUUUGUUGAUGAAUUAUUCUCGUAAAGGCAACUUACAACAGUUGAGGAGGAUUUUGGAGGUAAUGCAUGAGCAGGAGAUUAUUCCAGCUACUCCCCAUUACAAUAUUCUUAUAAAGGGCCUCUGCAGGACGUGGAAGAUGAAAGUUGCUCAAAGUUGCUUAGUUGAAAUGCUGGAUAGAGGCCUAAAACCUGACCAGGAGAUUUAUGAAGCCUUCAUUAUUGGAUAUUGUGGAAAAGGGGAAUUGCAAAACGCAGAAAAAUAUUUAUGCCAGAUGCUGCAUCAUGGUUUUAAGCCCAACAAAGCAAUUUAUAGUGCUUUGAUCAGUGUGAACUGCAAAAUUGGUAAGGUAAGCGAAGCCUUUGGGGCAUUUAGAAGUAUGCUUUCUCUGGAUCUUUUGAAAGUGUGUGAGGCCUAUCCUGUUCUCCUUCGUAGUCUCUUGACGAACGGAAAAAUGCUAGAAGCAGCUGAAGUCAUUUCAGAACUUCAUGGCAAGAAUCUGGUUGCUGAUGUUUCUGCCUAUGAAGCUCUCAUCUGUUAUUUUGCUCAACACUCUGAGAUUGAAAAGGCCUUUACCCUUUAUGAGGAAUCACAAAACAAAGGUAUUCGUCCCAACUUACGUACUCGCAAUCACUUGAUUGUUGGGCUGUUUAGAGCCGGCCAAACUGAGAGAGCUAAAAUAAUAUUUGAUAUCAUCUUAAAAGAAGGUUUGGGACCAAAUAGAGAGAUAUGCACUACCAUGAUAUCUGGUUUAGCUAAAGGAGGACUAUUGUCUGAGGCCUUUGGCUUGUUUCACUCUAUGAUACUUGGGGGUCUUUCUCCGCGUAGAAUAAUUUAUAAUGCUCUUCUUGAUGGAUGUUGUAAGACUGGGAACUUGCAGAAAGCUCAGGACUUGCUUCAGGAAAUGUUUCAAAUGGGAAUAGCUUCCACUAAAGAUUUUAACACAUUGAUUGAUGGAUUCUUGAAGAAUGGAAAUGUGGUGGAAACUAAGCAGCUUCUGAAAAAGAUGAUAGAGGGAUGUGUUGAACUUGAUCAGGACACGUAUACGAUGCUCGUUGAGCAGCUAUGCAAGGAUGGACUGAUGGAGGAAGCUGAAAUGCUGAUAUCAGAGAUGCAAAAAAGGGAUCUUGUACCUUAGGGUGCAACUUACAGUAGAAUUUUUCAUGGCUAUCAUAUGAUAGGUGAGAGAUCAAGACUUUGUGCCGUAUUCCGAGAAAUGGUGAGGAAGGGUAUCAAUCCUGAGAAUGGCACUCUUCCCGUUGUGCUGGAUGCUUUCUCUAAAGAAGGGAACUUACUUGACGCAUUCAAGUUAUUCAUAGGAAUGUUGGAGAAGGGCACGCCUCUAAGUGUAAGCGCCUGUGAGUCACUAAUUGAUGCUUUAUGCUUGGAUGGGAAGUAUGGCAAAGCAUUGGAAUUUCUUCUUGAGAUGGGAGAGAAAGGGUUUGUUCUCAAUCAUUCAACUUGUAGUGCUAUAGGUCGUAGUUUUUCUCUGAAAGGUGAUACUGAUACAGAUGAAGUAUGCUUGGUAAUCAAGGCUAUGACAACAUUUGGUUGGAUAUCAGACUCCACUACUUUUUCUGAUUUACUUAAGGACAGUAAAGUAGGCUUUUUAUUGCCCGAUCAAAAAAUUGGUUCAUCGGGGGAGCUUGCUGCGAGAAACCAGAAUGCUGCUUCUUCAGAGGAUGUAAAAUAUGUUUUGAAGCAAGUGGGUUUCGGCUGUGCUUCAUGAGGGCUUGUCACUAGAGAUGAACACAGCUACUUUUCGGAAAGUGGAAGACAGCAAGGGAUUUCACCGGGGCAUAGCUACUCUAGACCAUUCCGAUUUGGAGGCUUCUAGGCUAAAUUGGAUGGCAGCUUCUAGUACAUAACAUGUUGAUCACUUCAUGAGGUAAUUAAACUGGUCUUGUUUGUAUUGUGGUGUUUUUAGAAUAAGAGCUUUAUAACCAUUAUUGUAUUGUCGGAAUACCUUGAGCUCAUCAAAUUUAUCAUUUUUCAGGUUUAUUGUAACAACUGAACCUGUAAGCUUAUACAAGAUGAAGGACAUUUCGAUCCCGCUCGAGUCAAGGAAAGAGUUCGCUGCGCCAUUAAAGAGUAGUUUCAUAACAAUAAAGAGAAGUGAAAAGAACAGAUUUAACUUACUACUUACAUGUUCUUACUCUUCCUGAAGCUCAGAAAUUAAAGAAAGCAAAAAGCUUCUUAACCAGAGCAAGUUCUUGGUGCAAUGUCUGUUCAACUUGUUGGUUGUUGUCCAUAUAAUUUUUCACAAGGCAAUCUUAAAAGGCUCAUAGUUG